CUUAUUUAGGUUGGCUAAAUAUAUACGUUUUCCGUAUGCGAUUUUCGAAUUCGUUUUCCGUAUUCGGAAAUCCUAAAGCAUGGAAUCAGUA
Molecule: long non-coding RNA, 91 nt
Organism: Aricia agestis (brown argus)
Lineage: Eukaryota; Metazoa; Arthropoda; Insecta; Lepidoptera; Lycaenidae
Exons: 3
Source: RefSeq, a predicted model, not a curated record